UACGAAGGGGGCUAGCGUUGCUCGGAAUCACUGGGCGUAAAGCGCACGUAGGCGGAUCGUUAAGUCAGGGGUGAAAUCCUGGAGCUCAACUCCAGAACUGCCUUCGAUACUGGAGAGCUUGAGUCCGGGAGAGGUGAGUGGAACUGCGAGUGUAGAGGUGAAAUUCGUAGAUAUUCGCAAGAACACCAGUGGCGAAGGCGGCUCACUGGCCCGGUACUGACGCUGAGGUGCGAAAGCGUGGGGAGCAAACAGG
RNAcentral lists this ribosomal RNA (253 nucleotides) under uncultured bacterium. Its description in RNAcentral is "partial 16S ribosomal RNA". It matches the Rfam family "Bacterial small subunit ribosomal RNA", at positions 524 to 776 of the family's 1533-position model. The record is from RNAcentral.